GCACAGAGUCAGACAGGACUGAAGCGACUUAGCAGCAGCCUAGUGAGCUGAGAAUGAGCUUUACUUCUUUUUCUUUUUCUUUUUUUUUAAUUUUAGAGCCUACACUUUUUAAUGGCUGAGGAAAACCGAAAAGCAUAUUAUUUUCUGACGUGAAAAUUGUGUGAAGUUCAAUUUUUGGUGUCCUUAAAGUUGAAACAGGGACUUGCCAGUUCCUUUGGUUAUUGUCUAUGACUGAAAACUUGAUCAAUCGUCAAAGAUCAUAUUCGCAAAGCCUAAAAUAGUUCUUUUUGGGCCCUUUACAGAGUCUUUUUAAAAUGCUCUGUUCUGCUGGAAGUCUCCUAGUAGUCAUAUGGGGGAAUAAAGUCUUGGUUUUGUUACAAUAUUUUCUUCUCUAUUAUAUUCAUUUUUCAUUCUUUAUUAAUUGCAUUCCUUCUUAUCGCUAUAAGUUUGUUCUGUUGCGCAUCUUUACAACUUUUUGAGAUAGUUAUUUGUAACUCUCAUUUCUCUUAUAUGUAAUGCUAUAAGUUUACUUUAAUUUGUUGUUGUUGUUGUUCAGUCUGUCAAUCAUGUAGGACUCUUUGCAACCCCAUGCACUGCACGCAGCACACCAGGCUUCGCUGUCCUUCACUAUCUCCUGGAGUUUGCUCAGACUCAUGUCCAUUUAGUUGGUGAUACUAUCCAACCAUCUCAUCCUUUGCUGCCCACUUCUUCCUGCCCUCAGUCUUUCCCAGCAUCAAGGUCUUUUCCAAUGAGUUGGCUUUUCACAUCAGGUGGCCAAACUAUUGGAUCUUCAGCUUCAGCAUCAGUCCUUCCAGUGAAUAUU
This 823-nucleotide small RNA is filed under the name Bos taurus (domestic cattle). Lineage: Eukaryota; Metazoa; Chordata; Mammalia; Artiodactyla; Bovidae. The record is from RNAcentral.